Molecule: ribosomal RNA, 434 nt
Filed under: uncultured bacterium
Lineage: Bacteria
Description: partial 16S ribosomal RNA
Rfam family: Bacterial small subunit ribosomal RNA
Source: RNAcentral
AGCGAACGCUGGCGGCAGGCCUAACACAUGCAAGUCGAACGAACCUUUCGGGGUUAGUGGCGGACGGGUGAGUAACACGUGGGAACGUGCCUUUAGGUUCGGAAUAACUCAGGGAAACUUGUGCUAAUACCGAAUGUGCCCUUCGGGGGAAAGAUUUAUCGCCUUUAGAUCGGCCCGCGUCUGAUUAGCUAGUUGGUUGAGGUAAUGGCUCACCAAGGCGACGAUCAGUAGCUGGUCUGAGAGGAUGAUCAGCCACAUUGGGACUGAGACACGGCCCAAACUCCGACGGGAGGCAGCAGUGGGGAAUCUUGCGCAAUGGGCGAAAGCCUGACGCAGCCAUGCCGCGUGAAUGAUGAAGGUCUUAGGAUUGUAAAAUUCUUUCACCGGGGACGAUAAUGACGGUACCCGGAGAAGAAGCCCCGGCUAACUUCGUG